UUGAACCUCGGAUCAGGUAGGAAUACCC
Molecule: ribosomal RNA, 28 nt
Filed under: Pestalotiopsis neglecta
Lineage: Eukaryota; Fungi; Ascomycota; Sordariomycetes; Amphisphaeriales; Sporocadaceae
Description: partial 28S ribosomal RNA
Source: RNAcentral